GAUCUACGUCUAUAUAUCUAUAUUCCAUUAGCCCUGUCUCUCUGGAGAACCCUGACUAGUACAGAGAGGAUCACGAGUAAGCAAGCAGGGCACUGACCUUGGAUGGGCCACUUGACCUCACAGGGGUCUGGUUUUCUGGAGACAAACGCCACACAGUGAUGGAGAGAACCUCGUGACAGAGCCUUGCCCAGGUGCACGUGGGGCGGAGUUCAUCACAGCGCUGGCUGGUUUGUUGAAAAGGAGGCCCGGCGGCUGUUCACUGUCUUGACAAACAGCCAGAGAGGCAGGGGAACCCUACACUGUAUACUUUUCUCAGUAAUAAA
Molecule: long non-coding RNA, 323 nt
Filed under: Homo sapiens (human)
Lineage: Eukaryota; Metazoa; Chordata; Mammalia; Primates; Hominidae
Description: HSALNT0218069
Source: RNAcentral